AGCGUCGUCGCCGAGCGGGCCGGGGCCCACUUAGAACACCACCUGCGGAGUCGCUCGUCACUUCGUCGCCGUCUCCGUCGUCUCUCCCCCUUUCCACGCCCCUCCAGAAGCCACCCUGCCGCUGCCGCUCCGAUCCAACCUACCCCCCAUGGCCUUCGCCAGCUCGCUCCUGCCCGCGCCGGCCUCCGGCGUCCGCGCGAGCCACGCCCCGGAGCUCGCCUUCCCGCCGGUCAACAGGAAGGGCGGCGUCUCGCUGCGGCGCCGGGGAGCCCGGCACGGAGUCAGGGCUGAAGUGAAUGAAUCUGCAAGUGCUGUAGCGAUUGAUGCUCUCUCCCAAGUUAAGCAUGUUCUACUUCCGAUCACUGAUCGCAACCCUUACCUUUCAGAAGGCACAAGACAGGCUGCAGCCACAACCACUUCUCUAGCAAAGAAGUAUGGAGCAAGCAUUACAGUAGUUGUUAUUGAUGAUAAGCCAAAGGAGUCAUUUCCAGAGCAUGAUACUCAAAUGUCAAGCAUUAGAUGGCACCUUUCUGAAGGUGGAUUUACAGAGUUUGGGUUGAUGGAGCGCCUUGGAGAAGGAAAGAAGCCGACAGCUAUCAUCGCAGAAGUCGCAGAUGAUUUGGAGUUAGACCUGGUCGUCCUUAGUAUGGAAGCGAUCCACUCGAAGCACGUCGAUGGGAAUUUGCUGGCUGAAUUCAUCCCCUGCCCCAUUCUGGUGCUCCCCCUCUAAUAAUGUCAUCUGUUUCUUUUUGGGGGGCUUUUAUCAUUUCAGAUGAAAUUCCUGACUAUUUCAUGGAUAUGAUGAUGCAUUUUGGGUUAGCUAUUUCAUGGAUAUGCAGGUUUGUGAUCAUGUGAAUAUUCAUAAGAACAAUAAGAGUGGUUCCUUUGUGAAAUUUGCUGUUCUGUUGCAUAAUCCUGUCAUGUAAAUACAUAUACUGCCUUGUUUUUGUAAUAAUUAAAUAAAGAUUUUGCUGUAAAAAAA
RNA transcript from Triticum aestivum (bread wheat), 982 nucleotides. RefSeq lists it as uncharacterized. The record is from RefSeq and is a predicted model, not a curated record. NCBI's taxonomy places the organism in Eukaryota, Viridiplantae, Streptophyta, Magnoliopsida, Poales, Poaceae. The transcript is spliced from 6 exons.